CGCGUAGGCGGGAUGGCAAGUCGGUCGUGAAAUCCUUCGGCUCAACCGAAGAACGUCGGCCGAUACUGCCGUUCUUGAGGGAUGCAGAGGAGACUGGAAUUCCCGGUGUAGCGGUGAAAUGUGUAGAGAUCGGGAGGAACACCGGUGGCGAAGGCGGGUCUCUGGGCAUUUCCUGACGCUGAGGCGCGAAAGCGUGGGGAGCAAACG
Molecule: ribosomal RNA, 207 nt
Filed under: uncultured bacterium
Lineage: Bacteria
Description: partial 16S ribosomal RNA
Rfam family: Bacterial small subunit ribosomal RNA
Source: RNAcentral